This 492-nucleotide ribosomal RNA is filed under the name Triticum aestivum (bread wheat). Its description in RNAcentral is "partial small subunit ribosomal RNA". The record is from RNAcentral. Lineage: Eukaryota; Viridiplantae; Streptophyta; Magnoliopsida; Poales; Poaceae.
AUGCCCACUGAGGUUGGCAACUCUCCAACAAGCACUUUCAAGUUCUUGACUGACAGAGCAUGGCAAAAUAUCCAUGGAUGGUCUGAUCGUCCAAUUUCUAGGGCGGGAAAUGAAACUUUGCUAAAGUCCAUCACCCAGGCCAUUCCGACCUUUGUUUCGAGCUGUUUUCAUUUGCCAAUCGCUACUUGCGAAAAGUUUAGGCAGAUUGUGUCUGACCAAUGGUGGGGCAGAGAGAAUGGAAAGAAAAAGAUGCAUUGGAGGUCUUGGGCAUGGCUGUCGACCCCGAAGUCUUUAGGUGGCAUGGGCUUCCGUGACAUGACCCUGUUCAACCAAGCGCUCUUGGGCAAGCAGGGAUGGAGCUUACUAACCGUGCCUAAUUCUCUGUGUGCUCGUGUUCUGAAGGGUAGAUACUUCUCCAACAGCAAUUUCUGGAAUGCUUCGGUUCCACGUACUGCUUCAGCCACUUGGAGGGGCAUUAUUCACGGCCGUGAU